Molecule: transfer RNA, 19 nt
Filed under: Otiorhynchus raucus
Lineage: Eukaryota; Metazoa; Arthropoda; Insecta; Coleoptera; Curculionidae
Description: partial tRNA-Leu
Source: RNAcentral
GUUUAGACUUUUUUUAGAA